RNAcentral lists this ribosomal RNA (126 nucleotides) under Pseudarthrobacter phenanthrenivorans. Lineage: Bacteria; Bacillati; Actinomycetota; Actinomycetes; Micrococcales; Micrococcaceae. The record is from RNAcentral. RNAcentral also lists the same sequence under 1 other name.
UACGGCGGUCAUAGCGUGGGGGAAACGCCCGGUCCCAUUCCGAACCCGGAAGCUAAGACCCACAGCGCCGAUGGUACUGCACCCGGGAGGGUGUGGGAGAGUAGGUCACCGCCGGACAACCAUUAG